GAUGAACGCUGGCGGCGUGCCUAAUACAUGCAAGUCGAGCGAACAGACGAGGAGCUUGCUCCUCUGACGUUAGCGGCGGACGUGUGAGUAACACGUGUAUAACCUACCUAUAAGACUGGGAUAACUUCGGGAAACCGGCGCUAAUACCGGAUAAUAUAUUGAACCGCAUGGUUCAAUAGUGAAGGACGGUUUUGCUGUCACUUAUAGAUGGAUCCGCGCCGCAUUAGCUAGUUGGUAAGGUAACGGCUUACCAAGGCAACGAUGCGUAGCCGACCUGAGAGGGUGAUCGGCCACACUGGAACUGAGACACGGUCCAGACUACUACGGGAGGCAGCAGUAGGGAAUCUUACGCAAUGGGCGAAAGCUUGACGGAGCAACGCCGCGUGAGUGAUGAAGGUGUUCGGAUCGUAAAACUCUGUUAUUAGGGAAGAACAAAUGUGUAAGUAAAUAUGCACGUCUUGACGGUACCUAAUCAGAAAGCCACGGCUAACUACGUG
This 497-nucleotide ribosomal RNA is filed under the name uncultured bacterium. RNAcentral describes it as "partial 16S ribosomal RNA". It matches the Rfam family "Bacterial small subunit ribosomal RNA", at positions 28 to 507 of the family's 1533-position model. The record is from RNAcentral.